RNAcentral lists this small nuclear RNA (121 nucleotides) under Octodon degus (degu). RNAcentral's name for it is "U4 spliceosomal RNA (ENSODEG00000025132.1)". The record is from RNAcentral. Lineage: Eukaryota; Metazoa; Chordata; Mammalia; Rodentia; Octodontidae.
AGCUGUGCGCAGUGGCAGUAACACAGCCAAUGAGGUUUAUCCAAGGGGUGAGUACUGCUCACUGAUCUAGUUCGUAAUAUUUGCUGGUAAUCACUAUGUAAAUUUUGUUCUAGUCUAUUAG